RNAcentral lists this ribosomal RNA (584 nucleotides) under uncultured archaeon. RNAcentral's name for it is "bacterial SSU rRNA". It matches the Rfam family "Archaeal small subunit ribosomal RNA", at positions 240 to 824 of the family's 1478-position model. The record is from RNAcentral.
UGUAGCGUACCUACUAGCCUACGACGGGUACGGGUUGUGAGAGCAAGAGCCCGGAGAUGGAUUCUGAGACACGAAUCCAGGCCCUACGGGGUGCAGCAGGCGCGAAAACUUUACAAUGCCGGCAACGGCGAUAAGGGGACCUCGAGUGCCAGGUUACAAAUCUGGCUGUCGUGAUGCCUAAAAAGCAUUGCAUAGCAAGGGCCGGGCAAGACCGGUGCCAGCCGCCGCGAUAACACCGGCGGCUCGAGUGGUAACCGUUAUUAUUGGGUCUAAAGGGUCUGUAGCCGGCCGGAUAAGUCUCUUGAGAAAUCCAGCAGCUCAACUGUUGGGCUUUCAGGAGAUACUGUUCGGCUCGAGGCCGGGAGAGGUGAGAGGUACUUCAGGGGUAGGGGUGAAAUCUUGUAAUCCUUGAAGGACCACCAGUGGCGAAGGCGUCUCACCAGAACGGACCUGACGGCAAGGGACGAAAGCUAGGGGCACGAACCGGAUUAGAUACCCGGGUAGUCCUAGCCGUAAACGAUACUCGCUAGGUGUCGGCCACGGUGCGACCGUUGUCGGUGCCGUAGGGAAGCCGUGAAGCGAGC